RNAcentral lists this ribosomal RNA (490 nucleotides) under uncultured bacterium. RNAcentral's name for it is "partial 16S ribosomal RNA". It matches the Rfam family "Bacterial small subunit ribosomal RNA", at positions 28 to 507 of the family's 1533-position model. The record is from RNAcentral.
GAUGAACGCUAGCUACAGGCUUAACACAUGCAAGUCGCGGGGCAGCAUGGGGGUUGCUUGCACUCCCCGAUGGCGACCGGCGCACGGGUGAGUAGCGCGUAUCCAACCUGCCCUUCACCACGGGAUAACCCGGCGAAAGUCGGACUAAUACCGUAUGUUGUCCAUUGACGGCAUCCGAUUUGUACGAAAGGCUUGGCGGUGAGGGAGGGGGAUGCGUCCGAUUAGCCAGACGGCGGGGUAACGGCCCACCGUGGCUACGAUCGGUAGGGGUUCUGAGAGGAAGGUCCCCCACACUGGAACUGAGACACGGUCCAGACUCCUACGGGAGGCAGCAGUGAGGAAUAUUGGUCAAUGGGCGUAAGCCUGAACCAGCCAAGUAGCGUGCAGGAUGACGGCCCUAUGGGUUGUAAACUGCUUUUAUGCGGGGAUAAAGUGGCCCACGUGUGGGCUUUUGCAGGUACCGCAUGAAUAAGGACCGGCUAAUUCCGUG